This 466-nucleotide ribosomal RNA is filed under the name uncultured bacterium. RNAcentral's name for it is "bacterial SSU rRNA". It matches the Rfam family "Bacterial small subunit ribosomal RNA", at positions 329 to 793 of the family's 1533-position model. The record is from RNAcentral.
UCCCAGACUCCUACGGGAGGCAGCAGUAAGGAAUAUUGGUCAAUGGCCGCAGGGCUGAACCAGCCAAGUCGCGUGAGGGAUGACGGUCCUAUGGAUUGUAAACCUCUUUUGUCAGGGAGCAAAGGGCGCCACGUGUGGCGUUUUGCGAGUACCUGAAGAAAAAGCAUCGGCUAACUCCGUGCCAGCAGCCGCGGUAAUACGGAGGAUGCGAGCGUUAUCCGGAUUUAUUGGGUUUAAAGGGUGCGCAGGCGGAGGUGCAAGUCAGCGGUCAAAUUGCGGGGCUCAACCCCGUACUGCCGUCGGAACUGGGUGCCUUGAGUGGGCGAGAAGUAUGCGGAAUGCGUGGUGUAGCGGUGAAAUGCAUAGAUAUCACGCAGAACCCCGAUUGCGAAGGCAGCAUACCGGCGCCCUACUGACGCUGAGGCACGAAAGUGCGGGUAUCGAACAGGAUUAGAUACCCGUGUAA